GAUGAACGCUGGCGGCGUGCCUAAUACAUGCAAGUCGAGCGAACAGACGAGGAGCUUGCUCCUCUGACGUUAGCGGCGGACGGGUGAGUAACACGUGGAUAAUCUACCUAUAAGACUGGGAUAACUUCGGGAAACCGGAGCUAAUACCGGAUAAUUUAUUGAACCGUAUGGUUCAAUAGUGAAAGACGGUUUUGCUGCUACUUAUAGAUGGAUCCGCGCAGCAUUAGCUAGUUGGUAAGGUAACGGCUUACAAAGGCAACGAUGCGUAGCCGACCUGGGAGGGUGAUCGGCCACACUGGAACUGAGACACGGUCCAGACUCCUACGGGAGGCAGCGGUAGGGAUUCUUCCGCAAUGGGCGAAAGCCUAACGGAGCAACGCCGCGUGGUUGAUGAGGGUCUUCGGAUCGUAAAACUCUGUUAUUAGGGAAGAACAAAUGUGUAAGUAACUAUGCACGUCUUGACGGUACCUUAUCAGAAAGCCACGGCUAACUACGUG
RNAcentral lists this ribosomal RNA (497 nucleotides) under uncultured bacterium. Its description in RNAcentral is "partial 16S ribosomal RNA". It matches the Rfam family "Bacterial small subunit ribosomal RNA", at positions 28 to 507 of the family's 1533-position model. The record is from RNAcentral.